RNAcentral lists this ribosomal RNA (485 nucleotides) under uncultured Nitrosospira sp. RNAcentral's name for it is "bacterial SSU rRNA". It matches the Rfam family "Bacterial small subunit ribosomal RNA", at positions 1 to 485 of the family's 1533-position model. The record is from RNAcentral. Lineage: Bacteria; Pseudomonadati; Pseudomonadota; Betaproteobacteria; Nitrosomonadales; Nitrosomonadaceae.
AUUAGAGUUUGAUCCUGGCUCAAAUUGAACGCUGGCGGCAUGCUUUACACAUGCAAGUCGAACGGCAGCACGGGGGCAACCCUGGUGGCGAGUGGCGAACGGGUGAGUAAUGCAUCGGAACGUAUCUUCAAGUGGGGGAUAACGCACCGAAUGGUGUGCUAAUACCGCAUAAUCUCUACGGAGAAAAGCAGGGGAUCGCAAGACCUUGCGCUUUUGGAGCGGCCGAUGUCUGAUUACCUAGUUGGUGAGGUAAAGGCUUACCAAGGCUUCGAUCAUUACCUGGUCUGAGAGGACGACCAGCCGCACUGGGACUGAGACACGGCCCAGACUCCUACGGGAGGCAGCAGUGGGGAAUUUUGGACAAUGGGGGAAACCCUGAUCCAGCCAUGCCGCGUGAGUGAAGAAGGCCUUCGGGUUGUAAAGCUCUUUCAUCCGGAACGAAACGGUCACGGCUAAUACCUGUGAUCACUGACGGUACCGGAAGA